UACGGGGGGGGCAAGCGUUGUUCGGAAUUACUGGGCGUAAAGGGCGCGUAGGCGGCCUUCUUAGUCGGACGUGAAAUCCCCGGGCUUAACUCGGGAACUGCGUCCGAUACUGGAAGGCUGGAGUUCGGGAGAGGAAUGUGGAAUUCCAGGUGUAGCGGUGAAAUGCGUAGAUAUCUGGAGGAACACCGGUGGCGAAGGCGGCAUUCUGGACCGAAACUGACGCUGAUGCGCGAAAGCCAGGGGAGCAAACGGG
This 253-nucleotide ribosomal RNA is filed under the name uncultured bacterium. Its description in RNAcentral is "partial 16S ribosomal RNA". It matches the Rfam family "Bacterial small subunit ribosomal RNA", at positions 524 to 776 of the family's 1533-position model. The record is from RNAcentral.